GGGGCAGACCUGGGCUAGCAGGGCCCAGGGAGAACUCCAAGGGUGUCUGUGUCAGCACACCGAAACCAGGCUACGACAAUGGCAACCACCAAUGUCCCAGUCCCUGGAGAGGUCUCACCUCUCACUGCAAUGCACUCAGAGGCUAUCAGGUAGUUCCUUGAGGAUGUAUUCCAGUAAAAUGAGGAAAUAAAUCAAGAAAGAGGAGAACAUGAGUCCAAGAAGUAAAGACAGAGCAGGAAGAUGAGAUUCUGUGGAACUCUCCUUGUCCAUCAGACUGACUUCCAUGAUUAAAUGCAAUGCCACUGGACUGCUUGGGUUCAGAGAAUUUAUACUUGCUGAUCUCCUGAUCCAGAUAAUCAUCUAUAUUGUCUAUUUUUUUCUACUUUGUAUAUUAGGAUUCAUGCCAGAAGGUCUUUAGGGUAAUUCAAACCAGCUUUCUUUGGAGACUGUCACCUUGCCAAUAUCCCUUGCCUUCAUAGAUAUUCUUCCUAGCCCAGUCUCACGUUUUUAUCUUCAGCCAGUGCCUGAUUUCCACUUGCAUGGGCUAUUGUGAUAACCUUCUAAGUGGUCUUUCCCCCUUCAAUUUCUAAACUUUUAUGCUAUUACUUUGGUUAAAAACUCCCCUCCCUAUCCAAACCAUAGGCUAUGCCUGUGGAAAAGUUUAAAUU
This is a long non-coding RNA of Diceros bicornis minor, 668 nucleotides long. RefSeq lists it as uncharacterized. NCBI's taxonomy places the organism in Eukaryota, Metazoa, Chordata, Mammalia, Perissodactyla, Rhinocerotidae. The record is from RefSeq and is a predicted model, not a curated record. The transcript is spliced from 3 exons.